GACGAACGCUGGCGGCGUGCUUAACACAUGCAAGUCGAGCGGUAAGGCCCUUUCGGGGGUACACGAGCGGCGAACGGGUGAGUAACACGUGGGUGACCUGCCCUCAGCUCUGGGAUAAGCCUGGGAAACCGGGUCUAAUACUGGAUAUGACUCCAUGACGCAUGUUGUGGGGUGGAAAGCCUUGUGCGGCUGAGGAUGGGCCCGCGGCCUAUCAGCUUGUUGGUGGGGUGANGGCCUACCAAGGCGACGACGGGUAGCCGGCCUGAGAGGGCGACCGGCCACACUGGGACUGGGACACGGCCCAGACUCCUACGGGAGGCAGCAGUGGGGAAUAUUGGACAAUGGGCGAAAGCCUGAUCCAGCCAUGCCGCGUGAGUGAAGAAGGCCUUAGGGUUGUAAAGCUCUUUCAGCGGGGAAGAUAAUGACGGUACCCGCAGAAGAAGCCCCGGCUAACUUCGUGCCAGCAGCCGCAGUAAC
This 477-nucleotide ribosomal RNA is filed under the name uncultured bacterium. RNAcentral's name for it is "bacterial SSU rRNA". It matches the Rfam family "Bacterial small subunit ribosomal RNA", at positions 28 to 524 of the family's 1533-position model. The record is from RNAcentral.